UACGAAGGGGGCGAGCGUUGUUCGGAUUUACUGGGCGUAAAGGGCGCGUAGGCGGCCCUCUUUGUCGCGUGUGAAAGCCCCGGGCUCAACCUGGGAAUUGCGCGCGAAACGGGGGGGCUUGAGUUCGGGAGAGGAGCGUGGAAUUCCCAGUGUAGAGGUGAAAUUCGUAGAUAUCGGGAGGAACACCGGUGGCGAAGGCGGCGACCUGGGUCGAGACUGACGCUGAGGCGCGAAAGCGUGGGGAGCAAACAGG
This 253-nucleotide ribosomal RNA is filed under the name uncultured bacterium. RNAcentral describes it as "partial 16S ribosomal RNA". It matches the Rfam family "Bacterial small subunit ribosomal RNA", at positions 524 to 776 of the family's 1533-position model. The record is from RNAcentral.